This 393-nucleotide long non-coding RNA is filed under the name Suricata suricatta (meerkat). Its description in RNAcentral is "lncRNA (ENSSSUG00005012066.1)". The record is from RNAcentral. Lineage: Eukaryota; Metazoa; Chordata; Mammalia; Carnivora; Herpestidae.
GCCUGGAUUCGGCAAUCAUCAGCCCGCUUCCCACACUCUCGCCUUCUCUCCGUAGGCAGACUGCGGGACGGGCGGGUUUCCUCUUCCCGAAUGUGAGCUGCCGCAAGAUGGUGCUUCGUCCCCUGGAGCGAGGGCACCUUCCUCCUCAGCCACGGACCAGCGCCGCGUGGGGAAUUCGACGGCCACGGCGUGUGCGGUCCGGCGCCUGCAGAUGCCCCCGAAAGGACCACCCGGCCCUGGGGGACCCGCAAGGCACACCCCAGCCCUCUGCUUGUGUGACCGGGUACCGCCACCUCCCGCCACGCGACCGGCCCUCAAGAGGUCCCCGUGGACGGAAUGCGUGAGGGCCAGUGUGGGUGAGCUGGACCCUGCUUAGCCUGGUCCGCAGGAGGC